UACGGGGGGAGCAAGCGUUGUUCGGAUUUACUGGGCGUAAAGGGCGCGUAGGCGGUCAGCACAAGUCAGUUGUGAAAUCUCCGGGCUUAACUCGGAAAGGUCAACUGAUACUGUGCGACUAGAGUGCAGAAGGGGCAACUGGAAUUCUCGGUGUAGCGGUGAAAUGCGCAGAUAUCGGGAAGAACACCCGUGGCGAAGGCGGCUCUCUGGAACGCAACUGACGCUGAGACGCGAAAGCGUGGGGAGCAAACGGG
Molecule: ribosomal RNA, 254 nt
Filed under: uncultured bacterium
Lineage: Bacteria
Description: partial 16S ribosomal RNA
Rfam family: Bacterial small subunit ribosomal RNA
Source: RNAcentral